AUGCUGCGCGCCCAGCUCACGCGCGCCCAAGCUCGCUUCAAGAAGCAAGCCGAUCGUCACCGCGCGGAGCGCGCCUUCGACGUCGGCGAGAACGUGCUCCUCAAACUGCAGCCGUACGCGCAGUCGACCGUCGCCAACCGCCCGUGUCGCAAGCUCUCCUACAAGUUCUUCGGCCCUUUUGAAGUGACAGAGCGGAUUGGAACCUUGGCAUAUCGCCUGCAGUUGCCUCCAGACAGCCGCAUCCAUCCGGUAUUUCACGUCUCCCAGCUCAAACCCUUCACUCCAGAUUACACUCCAGUCUUCGCCGAGCUGCCACGGGUACCCGACCUCACUGGGGGUGAAACGGAGCCAGUGGCGAUCUUGGAGCGGAGGAUGAUGAAGAAGGGCGAUGCACCGGUCGUGCAACUCCGUGUCCAGUGGGCAAACAUGCCAACUUCAGCCACCACCUGGGAAGAUUACACCGUUCUUCGCCAACGCUAUCCAUCAGCCUGCAUCUGGGAAGGAGCUUCAUCUCAAGGGGAGGACAAUGUCGCGCCUACUGAUGCAUCAAUGGCGGACUGA
Molecule: ribosomal RNA, 561 nt
Filed under: Triticum aestivum (bread wheat)
Lineage: Eukaryota; Viridiplantae; Streptophyta; Magnoliopsida; Poales; Poaceae
Description: partial small subunit ribosomal RNA
Source: RNAcentral